UCGAUCUCUCCUCCCCACCAAUAACCGGUGUGUGGUGGGCGUUCUGGCGCGAUAUCGCCGACGUCGCAUCAUCCAGGUGGACGCUACACACUAGUGGUGGUUGAGGAGAUCCCCUCUACAUUAUCUAAAGCGCUUUGAGUGUAACUAAUCUUCUAGUGCACUCACGGAGAAAUCAUUAACACUAAUCAUACAAAGAUUUCAUCAGACUGUUAGAAGAUAAUGUCCAGCGACAUGCCACAUCAGAUACUGUUUAAGCUACCAAAGGUCAGCGUGGCUCAAAAACAUGCCCCUUACAAAAAUCCUGCUCAGAUGAAAGCACUAUGACCUUCUCAGUGGAUUUUCAUUGAAAACCUGCUCUGUCGUGUUUAUCAUGAAGGACUGUCAAGCUCGUGUGCUGCUCUAUAGGUAAAGUUACAUCUAACGAUGUGGAACGUCCAGGGAACAAGUUAUUUCCUGUUCUCGCUUACGUUAUAGCAGCUAUAAACAGGCAGAGAGGUUCUGGAGCCGGAGCUCUGUGUGGUCAUGGUGAGCACUGUAGUGAUGCCCAGAGCUACGCGAGCAGGAGCGGCAUCCAUGUUGAUCCAGAAGGACACCCAGGAGAGGAUGACGAUGAGCAGACUUGGGAUGUACAUCUGGAUCAGGGCAGUGGUGGCUCAGCGGUUAAGGCAUGGCGUUAAUGAGCGGAAGGUCGUGAGUUUAAGUCCCAGCACCAGCAUGCUGUCAUGGAUGGGCUAUUUUGCAAGGCCCUUAACCUUCGACUGCUCGGUCGUAUAAAUGUAAAAGGUCAGACGAGCCUCACAGAAAUGUGUAUUAGGAGUAUAAAGGCUCAGCGGUGGAGAACACAAAAGCCAGCAGUGUGUAGCAGUGUAUCGGAGUGUGUAGCAGUGUGUAGCAGAGCACACUUCACCACAUUGCUCUGGCCUCGAUGUGGCUCACUUUAAUGGAAAAGGCUUUCGCUCAGAAGCGAGAGCGUCGACAUGGAAGUCUUCUCCUCGGGAUAGACAGGCUGGGAGUAGUUACGGACGAUGACGUUCAAUGAGGACACGCUAUAGCUUGUUAAUUAUGAAAAAGUAGAAAGGUCAAACUCAGACAUUCCCAGAAAUCCUGCCAAGUUCCAGAUCACAGCUUCUGUGUUGUAUUCGCUAACGAAUGAAUGAAUGAAUGAAUGAAUGAAUGAAUGAAUUAGCCUAAACUGUUAUUUGUGCUUGUUGUCAUGGUUACAUUGAACAUGGCUACACUUUAUUAGAUGAUUUUUUUUCUCUUUAGAACGAGUGAAUCUACACUAGGUAAUAAUGGACAUGUGGCAUCCAAGUGGAAACUUGGGCACGAUAUAAAAUAUGUCAUGUUAUAAAUGUUUUCAUAAAGUAUCUGUCAUAAAAUUGAGCAAAGGUUAUGCUAACUGGAGAACAAUUAGCAAACAAGCAUCCUGUGACAAGCUUCUCGGUAAUGCUAAUAUUACAUUCUAUUAUUUAUGCCAUUUAUGACAGGGUUAUGCUAAUUCUAUGAUGCAAGCUUCACGUACAUUGGCACAGAGUUUGUAAAUCUAGUCCUGUCCCUUUAAAGCUCAAACCCGAGCCGGACGGCAAAGGACAACUGAGCGCACUGAAACCGACUUGAUUGGCUGGGACUCCCUGCCAUCGUUUCAAUACUUUUGUCUCAGUGCUAGUUUAAAAUUGACGAGCGUGAAAAAAGAUCCAUAAAAAGACCCGACUCUAUUAGCUUAUGCAGGCUUCAUUAAUCCUAAUGAGCCAUUUCUGCUUUACACGUUCUCUAAGGAGGAGCAGGAAACUCUCACUCUGGGGGAACGACUGUGGUGUGGGAAGGAUUACAGAAGUUACACAUACACGUAGUGUGGAGUUCUGAUCACCAGCUGCAGAACCCUGAAUAUCAGGGAGCGUUAACAUGCCUUAAAUUCUGUUCGCCUUAAACGCAAAUUCACACCAGGAUAAAUAUCUUUGAAACCAUAGAGAGCCGUAGAGAAGAGAACGGUUUUUGAACAUAAUGAAAUAGACAAUAACGCGAAAUGAAUUUGACCUGUUAGCUAGGCAGAGCUGCGACAAGGCUAUGAUGUUACCUGUUAAAAUGCUCAAGACAUUAAAAUAUGAAAAUGUUAUUUUUAAAUGUUAAAAGGUUCAAUUGGGCUUAAAGGUUAAAACAUUUUAAAAGCAUUGAGUGGUUGCUAGGCUGCUGCUAUGGUACUGUAGUUAGGUGCGAGGCUGUUGCUGUGGUAUCCCAGAUGAAAUCCCACGUAGCAACCGUAAUUCCGAUCUUUUCCAAAAGCACAAGUGCCCCAUUCCUGUUAAAGCUGCAAGCAGCAUAUUUCGGGGGGCCAAGCACCCAGACUCGGUGAGCCUCACAUUCAUAGAUGCUCUACAGUUGUUGCAUAACUCACAGGAAAGCAGAGCCAUAACUAUAGGCAAAGAGAUUCGAGAUGAUUUGCAGUUUCACACAUUUGCCGUUAUGUCCGUUAUGGGAGAAUGAUUUUGAAUAUCAGAGUUCUGAAGAUGACGUGUGCCAAAUUUUGUGAUGAUUGGACAACAGUUGUAAGAGGAGUAGCGAAACAACAGUUCUUGAAAAUAUCCAAGAUGACGUAAAAUCUGAUUAGGCAGAAAUUGACGUCACAAUGUGCGCUGAACUCGUCUCGGCCCAGGGAAUCCAGGGUCUUUCAAUUUUGGACACACGGUUCAAAAGUUAUGACUAUAAACGUACUUCCAAAUUAGGCCCCAAUUUGACACAUGGUGUUUGAUGGUAGCUCGAGACUGUUGGCAGCACUUGGCCCAAAUUUGGUCGGAAUGUUCCUUAGACCCACCCCAAUCAGUGUGCUAAAUUUCACAACUUUUCACCAGACGGUUCUAUGGGCUGCCAUAGACAGCCUAGCCAGAAGAAGAAGAAGAUGAAGAAGAAGAAGACUAAUAAUAGAAGAAUAACAAUUGGGUGCUUACGCACCUUCGGUGUACCUUCUGUGAAUUUCAUUUCUUUUUCAAAUUGGGUUUUAUGGCUCAAGCUGCUCCAUACAGACCUGACAGCUUCAGUACUUUACUCUGCUAGCUAGUUAUAUAUCUAUAGAUAACACUGUACAGAUAAUUGAGGGUGUAAAUCUAAGAGAGAGAAAAAAAACAAAAACGUUUCAAUUAUAGGGUUCCUGUUGCCAAGGUCGAGUGUGCUCCUCAGGAAAACUUUGACCCUUUAGCUGGAUGUGGUCACUUAUGUCACACAGAAAUAUUUCACAUUUCCAAGGACUAUUGGGACGCAGUGCAAAUUGGAAAAUAAAUAUUAAUUAUUACUGGGGUCUUGUUGCUUGCUAACAAAAUUUACAGUAAAUUUACAGUAGGUUCAAUUACAAUGAAAGUAGUAAUACAAUAAAUAUCUCAUACUUUAUGAAAUCCUCAGUCCAACUAUUUUUAUAUUAUUAAGUCUUACUGCUAAUAUAAUUUUACUCAGUUAUGACUUGAAACUAAGAUGAUAAUAAUAAUAAUAAUAAUAAUAAUAAUAAUAAUAAUAAUAAUAAUAAUAAUAAUAAUAAUAAUAAUUACGGUAUUCCAUUCCAAAUUAUUGCAAAAUUAUAUCCAAAAGUCUGAGAGCAUUUUUAUACUUUAAUACAACAAUUUCCAUUGCAAAUGAUAUUACGGACCACGACUUCAGUGAAAAGUAGAAUCUUAGAAAUAUUGACACGAAUGUCAGAGUAUCUUAGUAUUUGUUUUAUGCACCUUUUUUGCUUUAAUGACAGUGUGAAUUCGAGCAGGCAUGGACUCCACACGUUUGUGCAAAACCUCACGAUCCGUUUAAUAUCAAAUCCAUCCGAGUGUCGUCUGAUCACCCGCUUCAACAGCAGAGAUUAGACAUGAGGAAAAUCUGACCUUUUGUACGAAGCAGUUAACGUUACACAUUUGCUUCUGAAUAAAUAGCCCUAGAAAUAGUGCAGAAUCUUGAAUAUUAAAUAUUCAAGACAUUGGACGUUUUUCUUUCUUUGUUUUAAAUAUUUCAAAAUCCUAAAACCUUCUGUUCAUUACCAGUUUUAAAAGAAAAAAACAUCCCAGAUUUUCAUUGUGGUCGCAGACUGUUGGACCCCACUGUAUAUAUAUAUAUAUAUAUAUAUAUAUAUA
This is a long non-coding RNA of Ictalurus punctatus (channel catfish), 4103 nucleotides long. RefSeq lists it as uncharacterized. The transcript has 5 exons. Lineage: Eukaryota; Metazoa; Chordata; Actinopteri; Siluriformes; Ictaluridae. The record is from RefSeq and is a predicted model, not a curated record.